This 253-nucleotide ribosomal RNA is filed under the name uncultured bacterium. RNAcentral describes it as "partial 16S ribosomal RNA". It matches the Rfam family "Bacterial small subunit ribosomal RNA", at positions 524 to 776 of the family's 1533-position model. The record is from RNAcentral.
UACGGAGGGCGCGAGCGUUAAUCGGAAUUACUGGGCGUAAAGCGCGCGUAGGCUGUUGUGUAAGUUGGGGGUGAAAUCCCACGGCUCAACCGUGGAACAGCCCUUGAUACUGCGCGACUUGAAUCCGGGAGAGGGUGGCGGAAUUCCAGGUGUAGGAGUGAAAUCCGUAGAUAUCUGGAGGAACAUCAGUGGCGAAGGCGGCCACCUGGACCGGUAUUGACGCUGAGACGCGAAAGCGUGGGGAGCAAACAGG